Bradysia coprophila is the source of this 249-nucleotide long non-coding RNA. NCBI's taxonomy places the organism in Eukaryota, Metazoa, Arthropoda, Insecta, Diptera, Sciaridae. The record is from RefSeq and is a predicted model, not a curated record.
AAGACGAAUCCAACGAGAUAUCACUCAUUAAAAUCGGAGACUCGGAAAUCGGCUUGUUCCCCAAUCACCUGAAGAUUUGGCGCUAUCACUCUUAAGAUUUUCCCCUGUUUCUCCUGAAUCAGGCCAGUUUCCAUGGUUCCGGAUAAAUAGAGUAGGGCAAUUUUUCUUAAGAAUAGAAGCCACUCCAUGGGUGGAAUUUGUAUCAUAUACAGAUACAAAUUUAGGUUUGCUUUACAAAAAUUCAGAUUU